GACACUGAACAUUGAGCCUUGAUGUGUAGGAUAGGUGGGAGGCUUUGAAGCGUGGACGCCAGUCUGCGUGGAGCCAACCUUGAAAUACCACCCUUUAAUGUUUGAUGUUCUAACGUUGGCCCCUAAUCGGGGUUGCGGACAGUGUCUGGUGGGUAGUUUGACUGGGGCGGUCUCCUCCCAAAGCGUAACGGAGGAGCACGAAGGUUAGCUAAUCCUGGUCGGACAUCAGGAGGUUAGUGCAAUGGCAUAAG
RNAcentral lists this ribosomal RNA (251 nucleotides) under Klebsiella quasipneumoniae subsp. similipneumoniae. Its description in RNAcentral is "partial 23S ribosomal RNA". It matches the Rfam family "Bacterial large subunit ribosomal RNA", at positions 2113 to 2363 of the family's 2925-position model. Lineage: Bacteria; Pseudomonadati; Pseudomonadota; Gammaproteobacteria; Enterobacterales; Enterobacteriaceae. The record is from RNAcentral.